AGGACUUAUAGGCAUGCCAAUAAGUGCAUAAGUAAGGGCCUGGAGGACGUCCUCCCGUCCUCCAGAGGACGUGAUAACGCAUUGCUAUCCUCUCGAGAGGAUAUCGGCCACAGCGCUCGUAUUAUUGGCCAUGGACAGCGCACCACGUGAUUGUACCGGGUACUGUGAAACCAGGCACCGAUCGACUGGACCCGUUGGUGUUUGCUAUACCCAGUAUACGCACGCAUUUUGGUUAAAUUGUCCGAAAUCUGCAAUUUUUGAGGUGAUGAAGAUCGAGCAAUUCACCUUCAGAGUGUGGACAGCUAUUUGGACAAGUCCUGGGCAGUUUUUUCUCAGGGCCAUAAACUUAAAGGAGUACCGGGCAGACUUCGCCUUUGAGGAAAGCAUUCAGAACAUGAAGCUGUGUGCGAACAGUGGAAGUCAUCAAGCACUUGCUUCAACAAGAUUUCUGCACAAGACUUGUUCUCAGGGCAAGUGAGAACAGAUGAGAGCAGGCACCAUUGUAACUAGUCAGCUAUCUUGCCCAACUAGAAGAAGGCUAUUACAUACAUUUUGUACAUUUGUAUAUUUAGUUUUUAUAAAAGUGUUGAUAAGAUAACACAUUUGACAUAUGUAGGUAUGUCAGCUGAUUUUUAGGUAAAAUGACCUACAUGUAACCACUUUCUGGUAAUGUUGAUGGUAUAUUCACUCACACUGUAUACAAUACAUAUUGUAUAUACAAUACAUGUGUAUUAGUUGAAUAUCAUAUCCUUGCACAGAAGCACAGAAGGAACUUCAAGCCUUAUUGCAAUUUCAUACACACUGUUUGCAAGAUAUCAAACAAUGAAAUAGCAAAAUGCAUAAUGAGAGUAAAAUGCAUAAUGAGAGUGGCUGAGCAGGUACCAUUUUAUCAGUCAAUUUAUAAACAUUAAACAAACCUCCUUGGUCAAAAAUCUACUUAUGAUGUCUUUGUGUAUCUUCAUGGUUUGUUCUUCAGCUUCAUCUCAAUGAAUAUCCCUAGUCAUCAAGUAAAUUGACAUAUCAAGCUUUGUAUGCAAUCAUUCCAGUACUUUUAUCUUAAAUAUUGAUGUACAUGUAUAUGUAGUAGGCUUUUUAGAAUAUUGUAAUAGAAAUUGGUAAAGCCUGAAGAGGCUCAGGAAGGGAGCAAUUGCUGACCUAGGCAUUUAUUGAAGGGGGGGGGUAGCUGCGGUGUAUAAAGAAGCAGUAUUAAACCUAUUAAAUGUUGUGUUUUACACA
Molecule: long non-coding RNA, 1236 nt
Organism: Branchiostoma belcheri (Belcher's lancelet)
Lineage: Eukaryota; Metazoa; Chordata; Leptocardii; Amphioxiformes; Branchiostomatidae
Exons: 2
Source: RefSeq, a predicted model, not a curated record